CCACUCAUGGUGACAUGGAUCAGAAUACGAGAGACAUAAUUAUGCGUGAGUUUCGCUCUGGUUCUUCCCGCGUGCUCAUUACAACUGAUCUCCUGGCACGUGGUAUAGAUGUCCAGCAAGUGUCCCUUGUGAUAAACUAUGACCUGCCGACUCAGCCAGAGAACUACCUUCAUCGGAUUGGACGCAGUGGCCGUUUUGGAAGGAAGGGUGUUGCGAUCAACUUUGUUACCAGGGAUGAUGACAGGAUGUUGGUCGACAUACAGAAGUUCUAUAAUGUGUUGGUCGAGGAGCUGCCAGCAAAUGUUGCCGAUCUUCUUUAGUGUGGAACUGAUGUGACAAGGUACAAGUUUUUGAAAGUUACUUGAUAUCCUAUCUAGUCACGGCUUACUAGACACAUAUUUGGAUCUGGACUUUGAUUGUGACAACCCUUGUGCAUUUUGUUGUAUUCUAAUUUCUGCAAAUAUUGGUGGAUUUAUACGUGUCCUAUUUUCUCCCUACAACUUGUAGUAUGGGAUGUUUGAACCAGCAACAAUUUUACAUUUAACUCUGUUCAUGUAUAAUUUGAUUUUAUAAAGGUGUGAUUAUCUAUUAUUCUGCUUGAAACUUGUUUAUAUUCGGAAUUGGAAGAAAUUUUUUGAUAUCUUGCUCCUGCCGAGUUUAUAGGUUCUACAAAUUUACUUACAUGUGAAAGAAAAUAAAUGCAGUGAUAUUUUUACCAAGUAUUUUGUAUUUUCAGUAUCAACCUGUUUUACCCAUACUUGGUUGAAAGUGCCCAACAUGCGAAUUAUCGGCUGAAAGCUGUGCUUCAUUCUACUACCUCUUCAGAUUUUUUUCUAGUGGUCCUUUAUAUAGAUUUUGGCUGGUUUACAGAGGAUUCUUCACAUUGAUGUGGGUAACAAUGUCUUGAAAAAAAUUGACAAAAUUUAUGGAUUCUUACUGGAAUUUUGUAAAAGAGAAGUUAGCUUUGUGUGGCCUUUUCUUAUAAGUUGCUUUGGAAGAGUAUGAGUGGAAGGGUUGGUAAGCAUUGCACUUUGUUGAAAGGGAGUGCUGAGAAUUAACUCAAAGCUAACUACAAAAAAAUGAAUUAUUUUUAAUAGAAGGUCAUGUUUGUAGAUUAUCUAUUAGUUAGUCGAGAUAUAAAAUUUGCUUUUAAAAUAGACGUGGUCCACCACUUACUAGGAUAGGUUUCCUAAAUUAUAUGUAAGUUGGUUUAUUCUAAUUAAGUUAGUUCAUAUUAAUGUAUCUCAAUUGAUUAUGCAGACUGAAAAAAACAAAAUAGCAUUGGUCCCCAAUAUCCUGCAUUUUCUCAUGGCUCGUAUGCAAAUCGUUUAUUUCCAGCUCUAGUAAUCUAUAAUCAGGUUAGUGUGGAAAAUUAUAUCUUGUUCAAGGAGAUUUGUUGUCCUUUUGAUUAAUACCAAGUGUUUUUGUCCUGUUUAUAAUUGAGUUGUUGAACAAUAAGCCCUUAACAAACUAAGCCACAAUUGAAUCCUCUGAAAUUUACAUAGAUGUAGGCAUUGAUUAUAUGUGUUAUGUUUGCAUUCCUUCGCUAGCUGUAUGUUUACUUGACAGGAAGACUUGCUUCGAAGGGUCAAAAGAUCAGUGAGAACUUCUAUUUCAGAAGCGAUUGCUCUGUAAGUUGUGAUUGCCUAAUUGGCAUGUACAGUUUUACUGUAAGUGUAAAUAAACUCUUCUAAGCCACAUUUUUACCAAAAUUUAUGUAUAAUCCCAGCCGCCUUCUACUUUUCUGAAUAGUUCUUGGGAAAUUUUGUCGAGAAAAUAGAUUUGAUACCAAAUAGCAGUGCUGCAAACAAAUGUAUCCGUAAGAGAAAUUGUAAUGAAUAGCUUAGUCUUAUUCAGUAUCUGAAUCUGCUUUUGAUCGUAGGGCGUUGGUUUUUACUAUAGGUUACUGCUGUACUUGGUAGAAAAAUUACGCUUCCUGCUUAUUUGUCUACUGUUCUAAGAUUAACUACUAAAUUGAUUGAGUUUUCUUACAACCUAUAUAUGUAGAAGAUAAGUCAUGGGAAGUAGAUUCAAUUUGUUUUAAGCACGUUGUUUUGAAUUCUUGGAUCAUAUAAGUAUUUCUAAGUUCUUUUCAGGUUUCUGCUGCUUGUGCGGUGUGACUCAUAUAAUGCGCUUCUUCAAGUGCUUUCUUUUUUACAUUUAUGUGGUAGCUUCCAACAUUUAAAAUAUUGUCUUCAGUUUCUUCUUUCUCUUACUGUUACAUCAAAGCUCCCGCUGAGAAGCGUGAUGCUUUAAAUUUUUAUUUGUUCCUGCUGUUGGCCUGCUGUAGAAGCUCGACAUGGACAGACCUUAAAGUUCUACAGUGGUUGAUUCAUUCUUUUCUUAUUUACUGUCGCCAAAAUAUUCAAUCCCAUUUCUUUGUUACAUCUGUGUGGCAUCUACAACAUUGCCAGAAUUUAGCAUAAUAUUGUUUGAUAUCUGAAAAAUAUCUGUAAUGUUGUUUUACUAUGGAUUCUGAUUGAGUAAGUGCAUGUUUUCUGUUGUCUGAGUGUAACUGUCUUCUUUACAGUGAAUGGGUUCGAGCCACUUAAACAGUUUGAGCUUUUCAUUCAUGAUCGAGACUGAAGUCAAGCUACAACUCCCUUUGAAGGAGAGUUCCAAGUCUGUUAACAGAGUGAUAGAGCCGGCAACUCAGUCUGAAAUUGAAUAUCUGAAGGAAUAGUUGAAAUAUUUGGUAUGUCAAAUUUUAAUAUCGAGGUUAAAACUUCAUUUUUAGUUUUUUCUCAUUCUUGUUUGUCGGUGACAUUCUCGUUUUAUAAGCAUGAUACAGCUCUAUUUACAAACAUCUAUAACAUGUCCGGAUUUAAAAAAAUUUGAUAGGGCGGGGAUUAAAGAGAAAUAUGAUAUAUAUUUUUUUAGUUGGAGAUGAAAAAUAAGUACUAAUUAUGGUUGCAAAGACUUAUCAGCUUACCGUGUAAAACUGAUUCGUCUUCUAAACUGCUCCCUGCUAGAUUAUUGUGGCAAAUGUAAGAGACUGGAGUUUCAAGAUAAAAGCACUUCCUAAGGAGAACCAGCACACAUGCAAAUCACCUGGGCUAAUGUUAAGGGAAUCAGCUCUUUAGAGCAUGUGGGUCCUUUUUAAUGUUACAUAAGCAUCAUCCAGUGGAUUUUAAAAAGACCCCGGUCACACUGCUUCAAUGCACGAGCCCAUUUCCACUUACAGAUGAGUACAUCAAAUCUUAUCUUUCUUUAUAUAAUAUUGUUUUAAUUUAUAAUAUAAUUCUCAAGCAUUUGGAACUUGAGAAUUUGGAUUUGAAGAAUAAGAAUGUAAAAGUAGAUGCACAUUUAUAAAGAUUGUACAAAUGAAUGCAUAAGGACCAAAAAUAAGCACAGGUAGCAGGAGUUUACCGGGCUAUGCCCGGUUUUUGCUUUUACUCCUGUGGGUUGGGAUGCUCUUAGGCUCAACGUCCUUGCAGAAAAAUCAUCAGGAGGAUUCUGUAAAAUGAUUUCUCAAUAGUUUCUUGACCUUGUGGUGACAGCUGAGAAGAGAAGGCACUCCAAGUAAUGUCCGAAACUAUUGGUUCAAAUCUACAUUUCUCUUCACUUGUAUAUUUUCUCAAAAAAAGAACUUGUAUUAUGAAAUUGAUGACCAAUUUGUGUAAAUGAAAAAAAGAUCCAUUAUUAGUUAGUUAUGCCAAAUUUUUAACUAACUAGUUUUCGUUAAUUACCUUCGGAAAAAUGUUAUAGCUAUUGCAAGUUAAUUUACAAAUUUAAAUGAUCAAAUUACAUAUAUAAUUUUUUAGAAUUAAUCAUCAAAUAAUAUCACCCGGUUUUUUAUCAUAUUAGUGGCUUGAUCUUUUAACAAAUAUUUUUAUAAUUUUUUGACCAUAUUGCUAUUUUUAAUAUUUUAUUUUAUUGAAUUAUAAUGUUAGUUAUACUCCUCAUGUCCCAUUUAAUUCUGUGCGUUUUUUUUCACUACUCAACACACGCUUCAAUUCUCCUAUAAAAUAUUAUUCUAUCACUUAUUUUUAAAAUUUUAUUUUUUUUGAACAAAAAUAUAACAUUCGAAUUUUUAUUCAGAAAAAAAAAUCUUGAAAUUAAGUUACGGAACUAUACUUUACGGAAUUAUUAAAGUAUGUGCCACAUUCUAAUCCCCAAUGUAUAUAACUCCGGGGACAAAGAGAAUAUUUUAUUUUGAAACUUUUAAAAGAAAAAUAAUAAUAACAAUAUAUGAUUAAAGUACCCUGCAAAAAAGAAUUGGAAGUAUCAAAGAGAAAAAAGUAGCGUCAGGUCCAUUAAAAAUUAAUUUUUUACACACGAAUUAAUUUUUUUACACACGAAAUAUCUAAAAAAAUUAAUUUUUUUUUUUUUUGAAUUCCUGCCAUUUUUCUCCAGAACUCGAAGAAACAAGCAAAUGCUGUAUACAUACACGAAUGAGCCUCUCUUAUCCCUGGGGCGUCCACUCUCAACUCAAUUUCUCUUCAACAAUCAGUAAGUCAAUUAGCACAAUAUAUAUAAUAUAGCUAUGUAUUUAUUUAUGUUUAGAUUGAUCUUUUCAUCUACAUCAGAUGUGGGAAUCAGUAUACUUGAUUCAUUGAGUUUCUUUUCAUUCUUUAGGGGUUUUUUAUCCGUUUAGGCUGAAUUUAUAAAAAAGAUAAACUUUUUCUGUUUCUUUCUGCUAGAUUGUGUUAAAGAUGAAAACUUUUUAUGUGGGUUUAUUUGGAUUGAUGUUCUUGGGUGUGAUUUUGUUUGAUUAAGCAGGUUUUUGCGUUUUGUUGAUGUUCAACCCUGGAACAAUUUCAAUCAUGUGAAUUGGCCUUUUAUUGACUAGAAUAGCUGGUAUCUGAAGCUGAUUGUUGUAGACGCGUUGUUUGGGGAAUUUCCGCGUGUAUAAUUGGGCUGGAUAAGAACUGGUUGUGUGUAUGAUUACACGAUUGUAGCAAGAAAUAAUUUAUUUUAAUUAAAAUUCAGAUACUUGCUCUGGUAAUGGUGUAUAGAGUUUUUUUCUUGCAGUGUUGCGCACUCGCGUUUGUUGAAAAUUAAGAAAUACAUUUGGUGGAAUAUACAUCAGUUAGUGAUUUGUUACCUAAAUCAGAGCUAUUCUUUAUAGCUCGGGAUGCAACUUAAAUUCGACUCCACUAAUGAAGUUAUAAAAACCGUGUAAUUUUGAAGCUCUCUUGAGUUUAAUUAGUUGUAAAAAUAAUUAUGAUAGAGAUGCCAUGCAGCAUGCGGUAUAUAUAAGCAUUCAAUUUUAGCAUAUUUCCUUCUUUUCCCAGUGAACGGAGCUGUUUGAGUGUUCUCCAUUUCACCAAUAUAACGUGCCUCAUUUAUGGUCAUGAAAACAUAUAAGUCCUAACCAACAAUUUUAUUCAUUUGCUUUUUCUUUUCCUUGUUAAAGUUUGCAACUUCAGUUAGAAGUUAGAGUUGGAAUCAUACAGACAUAAUUAUAAUAUUGAUUUUGGUAACCGUCGUGCUUAAAUUGCUCAGCUGUAAUUUUGUUUAUUGAUCGCUGAAUAUAUUUUAUCUAGCUUGUCUUUUCUAAAUAUGCUUUGUAUCUAGAAUUUGAUUGCAGUUUUUAUGUGUUGGAUAUUAGCUAUACACUUAUACCACGAGGGGAAAUGAUGAUCAGGAUUUAAACCAAUGACCUUUCAUGAAUCUCAUUUGAUUUUACUUGUUUGAUGUAGUCUCUACUCUCUAGGACUAGUGGUGUUAAUGAAAUCACUUUGAAUUAAAAAUUAAUUGUUUUUUGUUUAUAAAAAUGCUCUUUGCAGAAUAUAAAUUAGUCACACACUGGGUUAUAAGGUGUUUCUCCAUUUCGGUUUGCAAAAUCUUGAAUAAAGAUUAGAAUUUGUUGCAAGCUCACUUAUUUGGUGAACGAUACCUUAAUUUUGUUUGCUUUGAAAGAAUUUGAAGAUUUGUAGCUUAUCUGUCCUUUUAUUUAUCUCUUAUUUUUGUAAAAUUGAUUUAUUAUUAUUGUUUUUUUAUUUUAUAGGAUGGCUGUCAGUUCUGGAUUAUUAACCAAUUUUGCAGGUUCUUUUAUAUGGUGUUUGUAUUUAUUCCUUUUUUGAUGUGUAUAAACUUAUUAGAUUUUUUGAUUGUACAGUCCACCCAAAGCUGUUAUUCAAAAUUCAAGGGGUACACCCUAUUCGACCUACUUUUUGGAGCAGGCACAAAAUCAUUAGUUUCCCUCAAAUUUUGGAAAGAGUAAUUCUUUUUCUUGAAAGUGUGAAGAAGGAUUCAUGAUUCAUAACUUUUAGAUGUCAGUUAACUCUUUGUUUCUCAUAGAUUAACAAUGCACCAUUCUUUUCAGAGGGGUGGUGGCACCAGAUAUGUUCAAUCAGUUGGAAGUAACCGUCUUGAGUUUACUUAUGAUGAUGAUGUGAGUAAAGAAUCCCACUGGUCAGUCAAGUUGAAGGAAUUUUUAAGGUAUAUUAUAAUAUGUAGUACUAGAAUAUUAAUGCAAUCACUUUAAAGUUAAACACUAUCAUCAUAGGAUCUGAGGAGAAAAGACAUCGCUUUAUUUGAGUGUCUGUUUUAUGAUCAUUUUUCAGAGGUUUGCGGUUAUUACUUGCAUUUUUGGCUGAGCAACCCGGUCAAUUGAAAUACAUAGAGUGGCCAAGUUUCCAGAGCACGGUGAGUACUAGAUACACAUGCUUUACUCAGUGAUGAAAAUGUUUGAUAGCACUACGUUUUACCUGUGGUACUUUAAAUGUUACAAUGUUUCUCCAACUUUAGAGUUUCAGAUGGGACGGGUUAGUUGUACCCCUGUCACAGAGAUUUCUUAAAUGUUUAAUACGUAUAUCUAUUGUGGAAUAUGUUAAUACGAGCUUAACUAGUUUGCUUACCGCCUUGAUAACGUUAAAUUUGAAGCUUUUUUUUCCCAUUCCAAGUGAUACUAAUGGUUUCAUGCUAAUUGCAUUCGUAUUCCUAAUUUCUGUCAUUUGUAGAUAUGCUAUGGUAGAUAUGCUGUUAACUUUGUAAUUUUGUAUGCAGCUGAAGACUGCUACUCUAACACUUGUUAUUGUAGCAUUGCUUAUUGUUGCUCUGUCUUCAGUUGAUGGCGGACUCGGUUAUUUAUUGGCUUUAUAUUUAAGGAGGAAAAAUGUCACAUAAUGUUGCUUCUUAGAGUGCUAGCUCCUUAGAGUGCUAUAAUACUGGUGGGCGGAUCUUUCACGAACCUAACUUAAUCAUGUUGUGUACAUUUAUCAGUAUUAGCAACACGCUGGGCUGUAGAUACACUACAGGUUCAGUUGUAAUGUGGUCUCAUCCUUGGAUGAUGCUCUGACUUCUUACAGCAUUAUGAACAGUUGAUCAAAAAAUAUCAUACGGUGAGAGCAUUCCCAAGCGUUGAAUGUUAUAUUUACUUUACUAUCAGUCUUCAUAUGUGUUUGAAAGAUUAUCGUCAUAUGCCAAUAUUUGGAGGAUAGAUCACGACAUGAUAGAUUAAAACCCGCCUGCAAUGUAGGCCAAUUAUAAAACUAUAGUUGAAUACUAGUAGAGACUUCGACCCUCUAUAAAUCUCCAGUAACAGCUUCAUUCAUUCCAUCUUCAACAUGAAUAUGAUAAUAUAUGUUGCAGAAAUUACUGUCAGGAAAUUCUAUGUCUCGGCCGUUGAUGAUUUUGUGGUGUGGGCUGGAAACUACACAAUUCUGUUGACGGGACACUUCGAUUUGGGCUGGAAACUACACAAUUCUGGUGACGGGACACUUCGAUUCUAAGGAUGAUGCUGUAAGCUUCUUAAAUUCUGUUAACCAGUCCCAGUACCUAGCUAUCCCCAUGGUAUUGCAACCAGGGCUGUGGAGACCUGCUCAUGUGUUAAAAGAGUUAAAUUAUCUGGAUAGAGUAGAAACUUUUGCUUUUGAUGUGAAUAAUGAAUGCUUCACAGAAGGUUUUACAGAAGCCUGGAUCUUUCGAGGCGGUUGUUUUAAGGAAAUAUUUCUUUCUUGAGAGUUGAGGAUAGUACCUGAAUUCGAGGAAUAUGACUUCGUGAAAUUAUAUACUCCCUCAAUCUCAUCGGAUUGUUUAUAUUUACUGUUUGCACGCAUUUUGAGAUUUUAUAAAAUAUAGUUUCAUAAUAUUUUUUUUAUUUUUUAUUCUUUGAAUAAAAAUUUAACGUCAAAUUUUUAUUCAGAGAAGAAAUUUUUUUAAAAAGUAUUUUGAAAUUAUAUUUUAUAUAAAUUGUAAAAUACAUGUUAAAAAGCAAGUAAAGAAUCCAUGGGACGGAGUAUACAGUACUUUAAUUUGGAUUAGGAGAAAUAUGGCUAGUAUAUAGUACCUCAAGAAAAUAUGGCGAGUAUAUAGUACUCGAGUGUAAAUUAUUUUGUUAUAACUAAAGUCUAAACAAAAGCUACGAGAUACUUUUGCAAUCGAGUAAAUACCACUCGGCAACCACUAUGAACGAUCUGCAGGACCAGAGGACACGAAGGAUCGACGAAAAAAGCAACAAUACCAUCUCACUCCACUAAUGUUUCUUUUUGAUAUAAUAUUUUUAUAAAAUAAUUUUAUAUAAUUUCACUCCUAACUACCCGUUCAUUAUAAAUUUUAUAGAUUGAAAUGCAUGAAACAUAUGAUCAUAUUAACACAAAAAUGUGGUUAUAAUAAAUUUACAUAUUGCUGGAAUAACAAUAAUCAAAAGAUGAGAAUCGGAUUAUAAAAUUUUGGGCCGGAUUUGAGAGAUUUUUCGACUUUAUUAGAUAUAUCGAUCUUUUCCGAUAUAUAUAUUAUAAACAUCUUAUUUUAUAUCUCAAGUCAAUAUGGAUUAAGUCUUUAUCCCGACGAUUAAAAACGAUAUUUAAAAUUAAAUAACUUUUAAUUAUUAAUCAUAUUCAUAUUCAUAUUCAAAUUCAAAUUCAAAUUCGAUUUAGGAUCGAAAAAACUAAAUUAUCUAUAAAACCCAGGAAAAAUAUGAGAAAAAACACAAAAGUAAUUAUACAGUCAUACCCCCGUCAAUACAAAACAAAAGUUGAGACACACUCGUCUAUCUCUUUCUCUUGCAAGUCUUUCAGCUCCUGCGGCGUACAUCCUAGGAGUUUGUCUAAACCCUAACCCUACCUUUCUCAAAUCAAUUUUUCUCUGCAAUCUGUAAGUAUUUCAAGCUUAUUAAUCAAAUAAGUAUAUCUGUAUGUUGCUUAUGUAUAUAUUAAUGUGUUUAUUUGUGUCAGAUGUAGCUUCUUGAUUUCUUGAUAUUGGAUUUUUUGUGUUCUUGAUUGAUUGGAUUUUUAUUCAAUUUUAAUGGGGGGUUUUGUAGUAAAAUUAUUGGGUUUGCUUCUUUUUAGUAGAAUAUAAUAAAGUUGAUAACUUUAUGAUGUUCUUGUGUGAAAUUAUGACAAAGUUGAUAAAUUUAUAUGUGGGUUUAUUUGGAUUGAUGUUCUUGUGUGUUAUUAUGUUUGAUUAAGCAUGAAUUGGAUAUAUACUGUUUAAGGUUGUAUGUAGGUGGAUUAUAUUGGGAAAUACUUAUAUCGAUUAUAGUUCAUUAAGAUUGUGAUUAUAGUAAGAGCUGAUAGUGGUUAUAGUUGGAGCUGUUGUUUCUAGAGUUCUAUUAAUAUGUCUUGGGAUGAUUUUAGAGUUUUAUUGAUUUAUCUCCGAAUGAUUUAAAUCAUGUGAACUGACAUGUGUUAUUAAAUAGAUAAUCUGGUAUAACAAGUUAAAUUUUAUAUGUGUUUGUUUUUGGGAGAAUGCUGCGUAUAUAAUUAGGCAAGAUAAGAAUUUAAUUACUUGUAGAAGGAAUGUGUUUCUAGUUUAGAAUCUGGAUACUUGCUUUGCUAAUGGUGCAUAGAGAGGUUUUCAUGCAUUCACGUGUACUUAUUUUGGUGGGAAAAGGUAAUGAAUAUGUAUUCUUGAAUAUGAAUAGUUAAUAUCUAUGUAUUGUGUGAUCCUUUUUUUAAAGCUGAGUUGUGAUGUAAGACUUGUAGCUGAGGACAGCAACUAGUAAUGUAGCAACUGUUACUAAUAAAAAAUAUGUGCUUAGAUUUUUCUCCACUAAAUAUUUUUGACUCCACUUCUAUUGAAGGGCUAAAAAUAGUGUAGUUCUGAAAGUGUUUAUGAUCAAUUUACCACAAUUAUAUGGAGGCCUUCUAAUUGGCAUAUUUUACUUUUGCAAAUGGCCAAAGCUGCUUGGGUGUAUUCUUUUUUCAGCAAGCUCUUUAUUUUGAUACUAAAUUUGGCUUGGUCAGCGCUAGGAGUGUACGUAUACACUAUUGUGCCAUAUAUAUACAACUCUCAAAAAUUAUUCCUAAGAAGUAUAGGAUUUCUUAAGGUAAUAUUUCUUCCUUUCAAGUAAUAAAAGGACAGGGAGUAUGAGAGUGCGCUUUCCUCAUUUACUUUUUUAUUCCUUUUUGAACUUCUAAAACAAUUCAUAUUCUUUGAAAAGGCAAUUAGUGAUGGCCUUGUCUUUUUAUCUAUAUAUUGACGUAGAUGAUCAAUAUACGAUUACAUGCCCCAUACUUACUAUGUUUGAUUAUUAUUUAACCUUCUGAUGAGGAAAAUGUAUCUCUUAUAAUUAUAGUAAUCAUGGCUGGAGCUGCACCUGAAGGUUCUCAAUUUGAUGCACGGCAAUUUGAUGCAAAAAUGACUGAGAUGUAAGUGAAAUAUGUUUGUCUUUGUCCAUUAUAUUUUUUUUAAUGAAAACUUAGUGUAUUUGAUUGGAUAUGAUCACAACAAUAUUCUUAUUCGGUUAAUGAACUCAUUGGAGCAGACUUGGUGCCGAGGGAGAAGAAUUCUUCACAUCAUAUGAUGAGGUCUAUGAUAGUUUUGAUGCUAUGGGACUGCAGGAAAACCUUUUGAGAGGCAUCUAUGCUUACGGUACAUGACACUUUAAUUUGUUUUUCAAUAUGGUGCUUCUACUUAUGUAUUGUAAAUUUUAUAAUGUCUAACAAUAGUAUCCUGUAUUUAAUGAAUAUUACACUGGUUUAAUUACUACUUAAGGGUUGUUUAUGCCUCAGCAGUAACCUAUACAUCAGUUGACUUGAUGAUUAAUCUGAUGAUCUCUUAUAAUGUUCUUCCAAUUCUAGCUUGAGAUUUCAAAAUCUCCUUUAGAACUUUUUGUGGCUUGUUUUUCUAUGGGGGUUGCAGUGUGUUGGCGAUGUUUUAUUUUAUUAUAUUAUUAACGAAUGAAUGACCUUUUGAUUUGUUAUUAGAAACUGUUUACUGUGGUUGUCUAAAUUUAUGUUUUCGUUUCUGUCCUUCCUUAAGGUUUUGAGAAGCCAUCCGCAAUUCAACAGAGGGGGAUUGUUCCAUUCUGCAAGGGGCUAGAUGUUAUUCAGCAGGCACAAUCUGGUACUGGGAAAACAGCAACUUUCUGCUCUGGGGUUUUGCAGCAGCUUGAUUUUAAUGUUGUUGAAUGUCAAGCUCUGGUUCUUGCUCCGACUCGUGAACUUGCGCAACAAAUUGAGAAGGUUAUGCGAGCACUAGGUGACUAUCUUGGUGUGAAGGUUCAUGCUUGUGUGGGUGGAACUAGUGUCCGCGAAGAUCAGCGAAUUCUCUCAAGUGGAGUUCAUGUCGUGGUUGGUACUCCUGGUCGUGUAUUUGACAUGUUGCGAAGACAAUCACUUCGUUCAGAUUACAUCAAGAUGUUUGUUCUGGAUGAAGCAGAUGAAAUGCUCUCAAGAGGGUUCAAGGAUCAGGUAUCUGUCUUACCUAUAAUAUAUGAUUUGUAUAGUAAUCAAUUCAUGGGUGUUGCUGUAUCUGAUGCAACUAUACCAGCUUAUAUUUGUUUAAACUAUAUUUGUACAUAAUGCAUGAUUUCAAUCUGUUUUUUAUAAUAUAGUGUUGUAACAUGUCGCUCGAACAUAUUUAACCUAGGUGUAUGUUGUCUCAUUUGAAUGCUCUUUUAUCACUGUAGAAGCUGCUGUGUUUCAUAUACUAAUAAAAACUGUAUAUUGCUAAAGGUGGAUCCAUUUCUUCUAAUGUUUACUUCAUUGUUGCAGAUUUAUGAUAUCUUUCAGUUGCUACCACCAAAAGUUCAGGUUGGAGUUUUUUCUGCCACUAUGCCUCCCGAGGCUCUUGAAAUCACUAGGAAAUUUAUGAAUAAGCCUGUGAGGAUUCUCGUCAAGCGAGAUGAGCUUACUCUUGAGGGUAUUAAACAGUUUUAUGUGAACGUUGACAAGGAGGAAUGGAAACUGGAGACACUGUGUGAUCUUUACGAGACUUUGGCUAUUACUCAGAGUGUGAUUUUCGUCAACACCAGGCGAAAGGUUGAUUGGCUGACUGACAAAAUGCGCAGCCGUGAUCACACAGUCUCCGCCACUCAUGGAGACAUGGAUCAGAAUACUAGAGAUAUAAUUAUGCGCGAAUUUCGCUCUGGUUCCUCUCGUGUUCUCAUUACAACUGAUCUCCUGGCACGUGGUAUAGAUGUCCAGCAAGUCUCCCUUGUGAUAAACUAUGACCUGCCGACUCAGCCAGAGAACUACCUUCAUAGGAUUGGGCGUAGUGGACGUUUUGGAAGGAAAGGUGUUGCGAUCAACUUUGUUACCAAGGAUGAUGACAGGAUGUUGGUUGACAUACAGAAGUUCUAUAAUGUAGUAGUUGAGGAGC
RNAcentral lists this long non-coding RNA (12492 nucleotides) under Daucus carota (carrot). Its description in RNAcentral is "long non-coding RNA (DCAR_LNC000818)". The record is from RNAcentral. Lineage: Eukaryota; Viridiplantae; Streptophyta; Magnoliopsida; Apiales; Apiaceae.